RNAcentral lists this ribosomal RNA (390 nucleotides) under Triticum aestivum (bread wheat). Its description in RNAcentral is "partial small subunit ribosomal RNA". Lineage: Eukaryota; Viridiplantae; Streptophyta; Magnoliopsida; Poales; Poaceae. The record is from RNAcentral.
AUGAGUGAUCAGGUCGGCAUCGACCUGGACGGCUUCCCACUCGACCAUGAGUUCCCGGACGACUACGGGCUAGAGAAAGAGGACGAGUGCGACAUCGAAGUGGAGCCUUUGUUCGAGGACGAGCUCGCCAACCAAGCCGCCGGUCCUAAGCCGAAGCGCAAGAGCAAGCACACGAAGGCAUACACGGCAGCCGAGGACAACCUUCUUUGCGAGUGUUGGCGAGACAUUGGACAAGACCCCAAGACGGGCACCGAGCAAAAACAUUCAACCUUUUGGAUUCGUGUCCACCGAGAGUCUCAUGAGCGCAAGAAGUUUCCGCCUUACCAAUUUGAGAGCACGCGCGGGUUCGAGAAGAUGCAGGCCGACAUGCUCAAGUUCGACGACAAGUGA